GAUGAACGCUGGCGGCGUGCCUAAUACAUGCAAGUCGAGCGAACGGACGAGAAGCUUGCUUUUCUGAUGUUAGCGGCGGACGGGUGAGUAACACGUGGAUAACCUACCUAUAAGACUGGGAUAACUUCGGGAAACCGGAGCUAAUACCGGAUAAUAUUUUGAACCGCAUGGUUCAAAAGUGAAAGACGGUCUUGCUGUCACUUAUAGAUGGAUCCGCGCUGCAUUAGCUAGUUGGUAAGGUAACGGCUUACCAAGGCAACGAUGCAUAGCCGACCUGAGAGGGUGAUCGGCCACACUGGAACUGAGACACGGUCCAGGCUCCUACGGGAGGCAGCAGUAGGGAAUCUUCCGCAAUGGGCGAAAGCCUGACGGAGCAACGCCGCGUGAGUGAUGAAGGUCUUCGGAUCGUAAAACUCUGUUAUUAGGGAAGAACAUAUGUGUAAGUAACUGUGCACAUCUUGACGGUACCUAAUCAGAAAGCCACGGCUAACUACGUGCCAGCAGCCGCGGUAAUACGUAGGUGGCAAGCGUUAUCCGGAAUUAUUGGGCGUAAAGCGCGCGUAGGCGGUUUUUUAAGUCUGAUGUGAAAGCCCACGGCUCAACCGUGGAGGGUCAUUGGAAACUGGAAAACUUGAGUGCAGAAGAGGAAAGUGGAAUUCCAUGUGUAGCGGUGAAAUGCGCAGAGAUGUGGAGGAACACCAGUGGCGAAGGCGACUUUCUGGUCUGUAACUGACGCUGAUGUGCGAAAGCGUGGGGAUCAAACAGGAUUAGAUACCCUGGUAGUCCACGCCGUAAACGAUGAGUGCUAAGUGUUAGGGGGUUUCCGCCCCUUAGUGCUGCAGCUAACGCAUUAAGCACUCCGCCUGGGGAGUACGACCGCAAGGUUGAAACUCAAAGGAAUUGACGGGGGCCCGCACAAGCGGUGGAGCAUGUGGUUUAAUUCGAAGCAACGCGAAGAACCUUACCAAAUCUUGACAUCCUUUGACAACUCUAGAGAUAGAGCCUUCCCCUUCGGGGGACAAAGUGACAGGUGGUGCAUGGUUGUCGUCAGCUCGUGUCGUGAGAUGUUGGGUUAAGUCCCGCAACGAGCGCAACCCUUAAGCUUAGUUGCCAUCAUUAAGUUGGGCACUCUAAGUUGACUGCCGGUGACAAACCGGAGGAAGGUGGGGAUGACGUCAAAUCAUCAUGCCCCUUAUGAUUUGGGCUACACACGUGCUACAAUGGACAAUACAAAGGGCAGCGAAACCGCGAGGUCAAGCAAAUCCCAUAAAGUUGUUCUCAGUUCGGAUUGUAGUCUGCAACUCGACUACAUGAAGCUGGAAUCGCUAGUAAUCGUAGAUCAGCAUGCUACGGUGAAUACGUUCCCGGGUCU
RNAcentral lists this ribosomal RNA (1372 nucleotides) under uncultured bacterium. RNAcentral describes it as "bacterial SSU rRNA". It matches the Rfam family "Bacterial small subunit ribosomal RNA", at positions 28 to 1381 of the family's 1533-position model. The record is from RNAcentral.